RNAcentral lists this ribosomal RNA (500 nucleotides) under uncultured bacterium. Its description in RNAcentral is "partial 16S ribosomal RNA". It matches the Rfam family "Bacterial small subunit ribosomal RNA", at positions 30 to 523 of the family's 1533-position model. The record is from RNAcentral.
AUUGAACGCUGGCGGAAUGCUUUACACAUGCAAGUCGAACGGCAGCACGGACUUCGGUCUGGUGGCGAGUGGCGAACGGGUGAGUAAUGUAUCGGAACGUGCCCAGUCGUGGGGGAUAACGUGGUGAAAAUUACGCUAAUACCGCAUACGAUCUAUGGACGAAAGCGGGGGAUCGCAAGACCUCGCGCGAUUGGAGCGGCCGAUAUCAGAUUAGGUAGUUGGUGGGGUAAAGGCCCACCAAGCCAACGAUCUGUAGCUGGUCUGAGAGGACGACCAGCCACACUGGAACUGAGACACGGUCCAGACUCCUACGGGAGGCAGCAGUGGGGAAUUUUGGACAAUGGGCGAAAGCCUGAUCCAGCCAUUCCGCGUGCAGGAUGGAGGCCCUCGGGUUGUAAACUGCUUUUGUACAGAACGAAAAGGUUUCUACUAAUACUAGGAGCUCAUGACGGUACUGUAAGAAUAAGCACCGGCUAACUACGUGCCAGCAGCCGCCGUAA